GAUGAACGCUGGCGGCGUGCCUAAUACAUGCAAGUCGAGCGAACGGACGAGAAGCUUGCUUUUCUGAUGUUAGCGGCGGACGGGUGAGUAACACGUGGAUAACCUACCUAUAAGACUGGGAUAACUUCGGGAAACCGGAGCUAAUACCGGAUAAUAUUUUGAACCGCAUGGUUCAAAAGUGAAAGACGGUCUUGUUGUCACUUAUAGAUGGAUCCGCGCUGCAUUAGCUAGUUGGUAAGGUAACGGCUUACCAAGGCAACGAUGCAUAGCCGACCUGAGAGGGUGAUCGGUCACACUGGAACUGAGACACGGUCCAGACUCCUACGGGAGGCAGCAGUAGGGAAUCUUCCGCAAUGGGCGAAAGCCUGACGGAGCAACGCCGCGUGAGUGAUGAAGGUCUUCGGAUCGUAAAACUCUGUUAUUAGGGAAGAACAUAUGUGUAAGUAACUGUGCACAUCUUGACGGUACCUAAUCAGAAAGCCACGGCUAACUACGUG
RNAcentral lists this ribosomal RNA (497 nucleotides) under uncultured bacterium. RNAcentral describes it as "partial 16S ribosomal RNA". It matches the Rfam family "Bacterial small subunit ribosomal RNA", at positions 28 to 507 of the family's 1533-position model. The record is from RNAcentral.